This 742-nucleotide ribosomal RNA is filed under the name Bisetocreagris titanium. Its description in RNAcentral is "12S ribosomal RNA". Lineage: Eukaryota; Metazoa; Arthropoda; Arachnida; Pseudoscorpiones; Neobisiidae. The record is from RNAcentral.
UAAAAGCCUCGACUACAUUUAAAAUAAAUUAAUGUCAGUAAAAUUUAUGUAUAGGAAUAAUUCUGCAAUCUAAAAUAAAAUUUAUAUAAGUUCGGGUGGGUGAGGUUAUUUAUAUUAUAUAAUAGUAAUAAAAUAUUAAUUUUAAGAAUACAACCACAAUAUUGAAGUAAGAUAUUUAUUUAUUGAAAAAUAAAAAUAGUUAUAAAAAAUUUAUAUGUUAAAUUAGUGCCAGCUACAGCGGUUAAACUAACUGUAAGUUAAAUUUUAAAUUAAUAAUUUUACUUUAAAAAUUUAAUGGUUAAAUAAAUUUUAUAGGAAGAAAUAUCAAUUUUAUUAAAUUAAAUUAAUUAAAUAGGAUUAGAUACCCUAGUAAAAAAUAUUAUAAGGUAGUAUAAAAUUUUUAAACCUAAAUUAUUUGGCGGUUCAAAAGUUAUAGAGGGGCUUAUAUUUUAAUAGAUACCGCCCUAUAAAUUUUACUUUUAUUUCUAUGCACAUCGUUGUAGUAGUGUUUUUAAAAAGUAAAAUUAAUCAAAAAUUUAAAAAUUCAAAUCAUGAUACAGGUUUUAAAAGAAAAUAUGAGUUACAGUGUUGACUUUAAUUAUGAUUAAGGAAAUUUUGGAUUUAUUAGUAAUUAAGUUUAAUAAAAAUUUAAUGAAUUUUUAAUAAGGAAGUACAUAUCGCCCGUCAAUUUUAGGAAUAAAAUAAGUCGUAACAAAGUAGAUUUAUUGGAAAAUAAAUCUUU